Molecule: long non-coding RNA, 3808 nt
Organism: Balaenoptera ricei (Rice's whale)
Lineage: Eukaryota; Metazoa; Chordata; Mammalia; Artiodactyla; Balaenopteridae
Exons: 5
Source: RefSeq, a predicted model, not a curated record
UUGUGGAAUACUUUGUAUCAGCAAAGACCACACACCCCGAAUUCCUGGACGGUGUCUGGUGUUUUCUUUCCCCUUCUGUUCAGCUGAAGUUGAGCAGCGGUAAUGAGUCAUGCUGUCUUGUGACCAGCCGGGCACUUUUCCAAUCAGAGAGACUGUUAAGAUCUCUGACAACAGAACCUGUCAUUGUUUGAAGAGUAGAUAUCAACGGUGACCUGUAUACUUGGUGAUCCAGGCUUCUGUGAGUAACAAAAUGCGUUCCCAUCCCUGCUGAAUGACAGAACACCAGUAAUGAGGUAGCACUUAGUAAAGCUGACUCAUUUCCUCGUUUAUAGAUGAAGGGGAUUGUCCAAGAAAUAAUCUCCCAGAUCCAGCUUGUUUGCCCGGAGGAAAGAAUUCAUUGAACAGCCACAGACUACAUUCCAGAACGUUAGCCAAGCACUUUGCAACAGGGUACCAUUGGGUCAUAGCAAGGCCUGCCACCACUCCUGGCAGAGCGACUCCAAAUACCUGCCCAUGGGACAGAGGUCUGGUUGCAGGAGGUCAGUACGGGCUCUCAUGGCAAGAAUUUUCAUGAGUGCUUCUUUCCUCCGUUUAGUUUCUUGAUAAAGGGCCAUUGGAAUUUUUAAGUCUCUGGAAAUGCGUGGGACUCUACUUUUUUUUCAGUAGGUGCUUUAUAUGCUUUGCUGUGAGUUCUCCCAGUGAACUUCGAUCUAAAUUCUACAUUGCAGGGUGGUGAUGUGAGUGUGUGUGUGGGAGGGCGAUAAUUUCAAAUACUUCAGGACCCAGAAUAGAUUUGUCACUGUUAUUUCUCUCCUUCCUUGCCGACAAAUCACAAUGCUAUUGCUCCGUGUUUGGAAUCUGAGAAUCUGCAGAGGCAGCUCAUUGGUCCUCAGGGAGGAUGACAAUUAGCACGGCAGGUGGAACGCUGCACCUCCCGACCUCCCAACCCCUCUUUUAUCUGUUUUACAAAUUGGACAACUCUGCUUUGAUCUGCUUUUGUGUAAGAGGUCAUCGGAGCACGAGGAGAUAAAAGUUGUCAAAGCUGAGCCCAGAAAGAGGUUGGUGCCGCCACGUGUGGUCACUCAGAAGAGAAGUAGGGUUGGGGCUCAGGUAAUGUGUGUGAGCUGCCCGUCCAGGUGGGCCUCCUCUGGAUUCUCAGGGGCUUAUCCGCAGACAGCCUUGAAUGGAUGGUGACGGAGAGCAUCCUCCUGGAGCCCAGAUGCCUCGGUGCCUGUAUUGGGGGAUGGGGCCUCUAAGGAGGUGGUAAAGGUUAAAUGAGGUCAUCAGAGAGGAUCCCUCAUCCAAUAGGGUUAGAGCCCUCAAGAGGAGACAGCAGAGAGCUUCACCCCCACCCCCACUCCCCACAUUUUCUCUCUGUCUGUCUCUGUCUGUCUCUCUCUCCUCCCUGUGAGGACACAGUGAGAAGGCAGCCGUCUGCAAGCCCAGAAGAGAGCCCUCACCAGCGCUUGGCCAUGACUCCAGCCUCCAGAACCGUGAGGAAUAAAGCCCUGUUGUUUUAGCUGCCUGGUCUGUAGGACUUGGUUAUGACAGCCCGAGCUGACCUGUACCCAGAGGGGCCUCUCCUUCUGAGGGGCCAGUCCUGCUUUCCCCACCUGCCCUCUGCUUGGUGGUGCUCUGGGUUUUCUCACAGCCUGUGCGUUCCUGCCUCCCAUCUUGAUUAGAAGCUUCAUCCUUAGGAGUCCAGUAACAGGCUGUAUCAUUAUUUGCACCCCUCAGGCACUAGCCGAAUACAUUUCUCACACUAUAAAGUGUAAUAUUUGCUGAUUGAUUAACUAGUCUGAGAGAUGAUUAGCCAAGUUGUACCUAUAUCUUGAAAUAGUUUGUUUUUACUUUGGUUUCAGAAUUGGCAAAGAAAUAUGGGGAUACUUAUGCACAAAAUUUCUGGCUACUUGGUGAUAUGAGUGUGUUGUUUAUUUUCUCCUGGAAUGAUCCAGAUUCAGAGAGUUACCUCAGCACUGACCUUUAUCUUGCAUAUAAACAUAAAAUGGGGCCCAGGACUCCAAAUUCUACAAAACUCACUGUAAUUUUCUUUGAAUGGUGGUCAUUUUAUCAAUAAUAUUAAAAUCCCAUUAAAUUAUCUGAUCCUAGACCAGGGUGCUUCAUACUGUUCUCUUUCUUUGUAAUUAUUUAAUCUCUUUUUAGUAGAAAAGAGGAAAAAUCCCUUGAACCAGAAAGGAUUUCUUUCUACUCUAACAGUAUUCCUUUUUUCACUCUGGGUGAAAUAAACUUAACAGAAAGGAGCUGAACUCUCCACUCCAGGCCACACGAUUUAAUGUGAUGCAGGAUUUUCAAUUAAUGGCAAUACCUUGGACUUGAUCAGAAAAUCAAGCCACGAGAACUGAAGUCACAAGGGGUUAACACUUUUUCAUUGUUUUUACAGAAAGACUAUGUAUGUCAAAAAAUAAUCCAAAAAGGAUUUUUCAUUUGCAUUUCUAACCUAAAAUGGCCCCAUGCUUAAUUUAACGUGCUUGAUGUGCGUCAUGGAAUUAUCAGUUACCUUUCUAUUAAAUUGCAAAAAUCAGGGACAUUUUGUUUAAUCAACACUAAUGUUCAGAAAUGUAUUAUCCGUGAUGUUAUCUGUUCUAUCUGAACUUUGCCAAAUUUUUUUUAAAAACUGCUCUGCCACCAUGUCAUUAAAUUACGACAUCUGAGUGAAAAGGCCGCAUCACAAGCUAGUGGCCCUGUGACUCGCCUGAGCCCCACCUGACUGAUGCCAUUGGCUCCAUCCCAGAAGCAAAGGUUAAAAUCCAUUUCCAAAUGAUCCUGAAGAAUGAUUAUUUUUCCCUUGCUGAGAUUUCACUGAAUACAGAGAAGAGGAAAGACUGAGUAUAUCACGAAAGGAAACACUCUAUUUGCCACAUUACACAUUGAUGAGAGCAAAGUUCCACAGAUUAAUUCAACACUCUCGGACUUUCUUGUCAACGCGCUCGCCCACACUAGCAGCUUCCAUGUCUGUGGCUUGACAAAGAGCUGCUCUUCCUCAGCUGUCAGCAUCUGUCUGAGCGGAACCACUGCGUUUCCCCGGAGGAAAUCCGGCUGCAGCCGCCCCUGCGCACAGGCGUGCCCUUCGCCUCUCCCUGCUGGCCUGGCGGCGGGCAUUCUGCUCCCAUUCUGCCCCCAGGCUCCCAGGCGAGGAUUUCUUCCCGCCCUUCUCCCAUCCCCACGCCCUCCGCCAGUCUCACUGACCACUGCUGUCAACUGGCGCCUGCCUUCUUGCAGACAGGAGAGGGUCUGCUGUCAUGUUCCUGAUGCUGUGAGGAGAGCCCUGGGUGACAAUUCGGCACUUCUGCCCCGUGUUCAGAAUUUCAGCGAGUGGUGACCCUCGCUUUAGGACCGAGCAUCCCCUCCAGCCUGACAGUUUAGAGCAGCGCGCACAGAUGCUGUGUCCGUCUGCAUUAAUGUCAUUGGACAGGAGUCAUUUCAGCCUCCGCCGAGUCUUUCAGUUUUUCACUUUUUGGGAAAUACACUAUUAAUACAAUUUGUCACUAUUCUUUAAGGAGCACUUAUUAUGCUGGGAUUUUAGUAUGUUUUACCAAUUUAGUUGUCAUAAUGGCCUGCAAGUGCCUUGAUUUUAAAACCUUAUUUCCCAGGCCUUUUGAGAGCUCACUAUAACCUGAGAUUAUUUUCCUAAUGGACAGCUUCUAUAAUGUACUUCUUAAAAGCCAAAUGGUACUUAUCACUUCAUUUUGCAUAUUGAAUGACAUUUUUAUCUUGGUGUUAAUAAUCCAACAUUAUAAUAAAAAUAAUAAUAGCAAGGAUUUGAAAAUCCAUUACAAAUCUCCUUAAA